CGCCGCCUGCGGUGUUCGAUAACGUGGAUCGGGUUACCUCGGGCCCUAUUUGAAACACCCCGGGGCACGGCGAUCCGUUGGAAUUGUGCAUGUCCGCCUCGAGCGGGAAGCCUUAUCCUUCGGAGCUGAGCCCCACUUGUUGCUCCGGUCCGAGAGCAACGAUUCGCACCGGCACAGGCGGGUGGCGC
Molecule: non-coding RNA, 188 nt
Filed under: bacterium
Lineage: Bacteria
Description: 6S RNA
Rfam family: 6S / SsrS RNA
About the family: E. coli 6S RNA was the first non coding RNA to be sequenced, but its function was unknown until recently.
Source: RNAcentral